Molecule: long non-coding RNA, 641 nt
Organism: Leopardus geoffroyi (Geoffroy's cat)
Lineage: Eukaryota; Metazoa; Chordata; Mammalia; Carnivora; Felidae
Exons: 2
Source: RefSeq, a predicted model, not a curated record
CAGGGGAUGAGGGACGUUGGGUGGAGAUGUGAGUUACUGGACAGUUGGUUGAUUGUCAGACAGGAUCUGAGACCGGUGGGCACUGGGGUCCCAGGGAGAGGGCUUAACCUGGGGGCUCCGACGGGGUGGGAACAUUGGGGCUGCACCACCCGAGGCUCCAACCAGGGACAUGGUUGGGGACUGCAGGUCCAGAACAAAGGGGCCACCUCUGAGGUCACAGAGAAGCCAGGAGAGCCUGGCCUGGCCUUGGGCCCGUGGCCUUUCUGGGGACACCAGCACCCGGAGCUGAGCAGGGCUGGACUGAUGGGGAGCCUGAAGGGCCUGAUGGGGAACGCCCGCCCCGGGCUGUCAACCUGUGCCAGCUGUGCCUUUAGGUCCUGAGUUCGCACAGGGCAUUCAUUCUCAGCAACCCGCAAGACGACCCUCAAGCUGCCCUCCUGAAGCCACACCCACUCCCAGGAGGCAGGGGAGGGCACCCCUGUUCCCGAGUGUCCUCAGGAGGCCCCGCUGAUGGCAGAGUUGAAGAACAAUGGGAGAUUUACCCUUGAGAAGGCCCAACGAUCCCCUUUCUCAGGGAAGUGCUCCAGGACCCCGACUCUCAGGCAGGCCUGCCUCACCCCUACACGGACUCCCUCCACUGA